This is a long non-coding RNA of Pygocentrus nattereri (red-bellied piranha), 554 nucleotides long. The record is from Ensembl. NCBI's taxonomy places the organism in Eukaryota, Metazoa, Chordata, Actinopteri, Characiformes, Serrasalmidae.
AUGUCCAGGGUCUUUUCUGUGUGGAAUUUGCAGGUUCUCCCCGUGUCUGUAUGGGUUUCCUCCAGGUGCUCCGGUUUCCACCCGCAGUCCAAAGACAUGCAGUCAGGCCAACUGGACAUGCUAAACUGCCCCUGCCUUCCACCCAAUGAACCUCCAAACUGUUCCGUUCCACAGGGACUUCCAGCAGGCAGCAUGAGCAGUGUGAACUCCCCCGCCUGUCUGCUGGCACGAAACCAAUUCUACAGGACCAUCAGUCCCACUGAUAAAGAGAAGCCUGGGUGCAGUUCCUCUGAUAACCUGAAACAACCAAUGCAAAGUCAGGGGACUGUCUGGGUGAUCACUUCCUCACACCAAGGUACAGUAUGAAAACAAAAACAGCCAUGCGAGGCAUCCCAACAAUGAUUAUUCACAAACAAUUCAGUGCAUGAAUCUACAGCUGGCUCUACGUGGUCAAACCAAAGUUAGUUAAAGGGAAGACUGGCCACUAAACGGCAGCUAAAUGGGGCUAAACGGCAUGAUGAAAAGUAAACAUAGUUUCUAACCACUUGUGCAAG